GGAAAUGUGCCCGAACCUUAAGGAUUACUUUGAUAGAGUAAACAACAGAGGUUAAAAUCCUCUCAUUUCCU
This 71-nucleotide transfer RNA is filed under the name Phrynosoma modestum. Its description in RNAcentral is "tRNA-Ile". It matches the Rfam family "tRNA". Rfam says of the family: Transfer RNA (tRNA) molecules are approximately 80 nucleotides in length. Their secondary structure includes four short double-helical elements and three loops (D, anti-codon, and T loops). The record is from RNAcentral. Lineage: Eukaryota; Metazoa; Chordata; Lepidosauria; Squamata; Phrynosomatidae.